This 233-nucleotide ribosomal RNA is filed under the name uncultured bacterium. RNAcentral's name for it is "partial 16S ribosomal RNA". It matches the Rfam family "Bacterial small subunit ribosomal RNA", at positions 118 to 350 of the family's 1533-position model. The record is from RNAcentral.
UGGGCAACCUGCCCCUCUCUCUGGGAUAACCCCGGGAAACCGGAGCUAAUACCGGAUACUCCGGCUGGAUCGCAUGGUCCGGCCGGGAAAGGUCCGCUGGAGAGGGAUGGGCCCGCGGCCUAUCAGCUUGUUGGUGGGGUCAUGGCUCACCAAGGCGACGACGGGUAGCUGGUCUGAGAGGACGACCAGCCACACUGGAACUGAGAUACGGUCCAGACUCCGUACGGGAGGCA